RNAcentral lists this ribosomal RNA (467 nucleotides) under uncultured bacterium. RNAcentral describes it as "bacterial SSU rRNA". It matches the Rfam family "Bacterial small subunit ribosomal RNA", at positions 60 to 524 of the family's 1533-position model. The record is from RNAcentral.
AGUCGAACGGCAGCGCGGGGCAACCUGGCGGCGAGUGGCGAACGGGUGAGUAAUAUAUCGGAACGUACCCUGGAGUGGGGGAUAACGUAGCGAAAGUUACGCUAAUACCGCAUACGAUCUAAGGAUGAAAGUGGGGGAUCGCAAGACCUCAUGCUCCUGGAGCGGCCGAUAUCUGAUUAGCUAGUUGGUGGGGUAAAGGCCUACCAAGGCAUCGAUCAGUAGCUGGUCUGAGAGGACGACCAGCCACACUGGGACUGAGACACGGCCCAGACUCCUACGGGAGGCAGCAGUGGGGAAUUUUGGACAAUGGGCGCAAGCCUGAUCCAGCAAUGCCGCGUGAGUGAAGAAGGCCUUCGGGUUGUAAAGCUCUUUUGUCAGGGAAGAAACGGUGGUUUCUAAUACAGAUCACUAAUGACGGUACCUGAAGAAUAAGCACCGGCUAACUACGUGCCAGCAGCCGCGGUAAU